Molecule: ribosomal RNA, 552 nt
Filed under: uncultured bacterium
Lineage: Bacteria
Description: bacterial SSU rRNA
Rfam family: Bacterial small subunit ribosomal RNA
Source: RNAcentral
UUGGUGAGAUAACAGCCCACCAAGGCGACGAUUGGUAGCCGAACUGAGAGGUUGAUCGGCCACAUUGGGACUGAGCCAUGAUCAAACUCCUACGGGAGGCAGCAGUGGGGAAUCUUCCGCAAUGGACGAAAGUCUGACGGAGCAACGUCGCGUGAGUGAAGAAGGUUUUCGGAUCGUAAAACUCUGUUUUCAGGGACGAAUGUGCCGAUCGUAAAUAAUGGUUGGUAAUGACGGUACCUGACAAGAAAGCCACGGCUAACUACGUGCCAGCAGCCGCGGUAAUACGUAGGUGGCAAGCGUUGUCCGGAAUUAUUGGGCGUAAAGCGCGCGCAGGUGGGAUAAUAAGUCUGAUGUUAAAGUUCGGGGCUCAACCCCGUGAAGCAUUUGGAUACUGUUAUUCUUGAGUGCAGGAGAGGAAAGUGGAAUUCCUAGUGUAGCGGUGAAAUGCGUAGAUAUUAGGAGGAACACCAGUGGCGAAGGCGACUUUCUGGACUGUGUCUGACACUGAGGCGCGAAAGCCAGGGUAGUGAACGGGAUUAGAUACCCCGGUAA